This 508-nucleotide ribosomal RNA is filed under the name Myurellopsis kilburni. RNAcentral's name for it is "partial 16S ribosomal RNA". It matches the Rfam family "Bacterial large subunit ribosomal RNA", at positions 1830 to 2598 of the family's 2925-position model. Lineage: Eukaryota; Metazoa; Mollusca; Gastropoda; Neogastropoda; Terebridae. The record is from RNAcentral.
CUUGUAAUAUCGAUGAUGGGGAGUCGGACCUGCCCGGUGAAAUUUUUUAACGGCCGCGGUACUCUGACCGUGCAAAGGUAGCAUAAUCAUUUGCCUUAUAAUUGAAGGCUGGUAUGAAUGGUUUGACAAGAAUAUGACUGUCUCCUUAUAAUUUGGUAGAAUUUUAUUUUUAGGUGAAAAAGCCUUGAUUUAAUUAAUAGACAAGAAGACCCUAUCGAGCUUAAAGGAAGUUAGCGGGCACUAUAAAUUUUUAGUUUAAAAAUAUGACUGCUAAGAAUUUUGGUUGGGGCGACUGAGGAACAGGAAAAGCUUCCUUUAAUGAGUUUUCUGGUGUACAAAUAUUGAUCCAUGGCUAGUGAUUAAAGGAAUUAGUUACCGUAGGGAUAACAGCAUAAUCUUUUUUGAGAGUUCUAAUCGAAAAAAGGGUUUGUGACCUCGAUGUUGGACCAGAAUGUCCUAAAGAUGCAGAAGUCUUUAAGGGUUGGUCUGUUCGACCAUUAAAAUUCUA